Molecule: ribosomal RNA, 579 nt
Filed under: uncultured Lactobacillus sp.
Lineage: Bacteria; Bacillati; Bacillota; Bacilli; Lactobacillales; Lactobacillaceae
Description: bacterial SSU rRNA
Rfam family: Bacterial small subunit ribosomal RNA
Source: RNAcentral
AGAGUUUGAUCCUGGCUCAGGACGAACGCUGGCGGCGUGCCUAAUACAUGCAAGUCGAGCGAGCCGAACCAAUUGAUUACCUUCGGGUAUGAAGUUAGGGAAGCGAGCGGCGGAUGGGUGAGUAACACGUGGGUAACCUACCCUAUAGUCUGGGAUACCACUUGGAAACAGGUGCUAAUACCGGAUAAAAGGAGAGAUCACAUGAUUUCUUUUUGAAAGGCGGCGUAAGCUGUCGCUAAAGGAUGGACCCGCGGUGCAUUAGCUAGUUGGUAAGGUAACGGCUUACCAAGGCAACGAUGCAUAGCCGAGUUGAGAGACUGAUCGGCCACAUUGGGACUGAGACACGGCCCAAACUCCUACGGGAGGCAGCAGUAGGGAAUCUUCCACAAUGGACGCAAGUCUGAUGGAGCAACGCCGCGUGAGUGAAGAAGGUUUUCGGAUCGUAAAGCUCUGUUGUUGGUGAAGAAAGAUAGUGAGAGUAACUGCUCAUUAUUUGCCGGUAAUCAACCAGAAAGUCACGGCUAACUACGUGCCAGCAGCCGCGGUAAUACGUAGGUGGCAAGCGUUGUCCGGAUUUAU